Molecule: ribosomal RNA, 437 nt
Filed under: uncultured Oscillospiraceae bacterium
Lineage: Bacteria; Bacillati; Bacillota; Clostridia; Eubacteriales; Oscillospiraceae
Description: partial 16S ribosomal RNA
Rfam family: Bacterial small subunit ribosomal RNA
Source: RNAcentral
ACGGAAGGCAGCAGUGGGGGAUAUUGGGCAAUGGGCGAAAGCCUGACCCAGCAACGCCGCGUGAAGGAAGAAGGUCUUCGGAUUGUAAACUUCUUUUAUGAGGGACGAAGGACGUGACGGUACCUCAUGAAUAAGCCGCGGCUAACUACGUGCCAGCAGCCGCGGUACUACGUAGGUGGCCAUCGUUAUCCGGAUUUACUGGGUGUAAAGGGCGCGUAGGCGGGGAUGCAAGUCAGAUGUGAAAUCUAUGGGCUUAACCCAGAAACUGCAUUUGAAACUGUAGCUCUUGAGUGCUGGAGAGGUAGAUGGAAUUCCUUGUGUAGCGGUGAAAUGCGUAGAUAUAAGGAAGAACACCAGUGGCGAAGGCGAUCUACUGGACAGUAACUGACGCUGGGGCGCGAAAGCGUGGGGAGCAAACAGGAUUAGAUACCCUGGUA